GCAUAUCAAUAAGCGGAGGAAAAGAAACCAACAGGGAUUGCCCCAGUAACGGCGAGUGAAGCGGCAACAGCUCAAAUUUGAAAUCUGGCCCCUAGGGCCCGAGUUGUAAUUUGCAGAGGAUGCUUUUGGCAAGGUGCCUUCCGAGUUCCCUGGAACGGGACGCCAUAGAGGGUGAGAGCCCCGUCUGGUUGGAUGCCGAGCCUCUGUAAAGCUCCUUCGACGAGUCGAGUAGUUUGGGAAUGCUGCUCUAAAUGGGAGGUAUAUGUCUUCUAAAGCUAAAUACCGGCCAGAGACCGAUAGCGCACAAGUAGAGUGAUCGAAAGAUGAAAAGCACUUUGAAAAGAGGGUUAAAUAGUACGUGAAAUUGUUGAAAGGGAAGCACUUAUGACCAGACUUGGACCCGGUGAAUCAUCCAGCGUUCUCGCUGGUGCACUUUGCCGGGCUCAGGCCAGCAUCAGUUUGCCCCGGGGGAUAAAGGCUUUGGGAAUGUGGCUCCCUCGGGAGUGUUAUAGCCCAUUGCACAAUACCCUGGGGCGGACUGAGGUUCGCGCAUCUGCAAGGAUGCUGGCGUAAUGGUCAUCAGUGACCCGUCUUGAAACACGGACCCA
This 608-nucleotide ribosomal RNA is filed under the name Pochonia chlamydosporia var. catenulata. RNAcentral describes it as "eukaryotic LSU rRNA". It matches the Rfam family "Eukaryotic large subunit ribosomal RNA", at positions 38 to 669 of the family's 3401-position model. The record is from RNAcentral. Lineage: Eukaryota; Fungi; Ascomycota; Sordariomycetes; Hypocreales; Clavicipitaceae.